GCCGCCGGCCGCCGGCCGGCGUCCCUGGCGGAAUCCCGGCUGCGCAGCGCAGUUGCCCGGCCGGGCUGCCCCAGCCCGGCGGAGGUCUUCUGCGAGGCCCGCGGAGGAGACACUGUUGAGCAGCUACACGCCCGGUCUGUAUCAGGGCGCGCCGCCCCGCCCCGGCGGUGUGUAACGCGAUCCUGUCGGUCCCAGUCCUUGGCGUCUGUAAGUGUUCGGGGAGGGAUCUUUUAAAGCCCUGCACCGCCCUCCUGAGGCAGCGCAGAGGCCCUCCGACGCCGGCAUUAUGAAGGCCGCGGAGUUUUCCUCGAGGGCAGCGUGUCCUCCUGAAGGGGCUGGAGCGAGGGCGCGAAGCAGAGCUGCGGCUGUCGCUUUGCGGUGCCGGUAGGACGUCGAGCGCCAGAACCGCGGACGGGGCGCCGAAUCACAACGCAGAUUUCCUCGUAUCCGGGACACAGUUAUGCCCCAUUCCCUAACUCCGAAGUAAAGUAGAAAGAGGGUUGUCGCCUGGGGCUGCCCCCUGGCCCUUGCAGCCAUGAAGGCAGAGGCACCGUCCUCGUUAAAGGAGACCCCGGGUUUGUCCAGCUGUGGCCUCAUUAACCUGCUCAGUCGCCGGAAGCUAAUGGCUGUGGGGUUUGUGCUCAGCUGGCUCAUGGUCGUCUACUUUCUGGUCAGUGUGUGGCUUCUCUGCCUUUUGUCCGCGUUGCUGGUGGUGCUGGGAGGAUGGCUGGGUUCAGACGCCAUUGUGGGAGCUACAGGUCGACUGCACCUGGAGCGCUUCAUCCCAAUGGCCAUCUGUCCUCCAGACCCCGAAGCCGAGCGACAGCUUGAACAGGAGAUCAAUCGCACCAUCCAUCUGGUUAUUCGGGACUUUGUGUCAUCCUGGUAUCGCUCAGUGAGCCAGGAGCCAGCCUUCGAGGAAGAGAUGGAGGCGGCCAUGAGAGGGUUGGCCCAUGAGCUGCGGAGGAGGAUGGGCAUGGUGGACAGGCAUGCUCUUGCCCAGAGGGUUCUGACUCUCUGUGGCUGUCACCUGCAGAGCUAUAUUCAGGCAAAGGAGGCCACAGCGGGGAAGCGGAGUGGUACAGUGGAGCCCUCCCAACUCUGGGAGGCUUACUGCCAGGCUGCUGCCCCACAUCCUGCUGUAGAAAGCCCCAGUGCUGAGGUCACCUAUACACGUGGCAUAGUGAAUUUGUUGCUUCAAGGACUAGUGCCAAAGCCCCACUUGGAGACCCGGACAGGACGCCAUGUGGUGGUCGAACUCAUUACUUGCAAUGUGGUCUUACCACUGAUCAGCAAGUUGUCAGAUCCUGACUGGAUCCACCUUGUAAUUGUGGGCAUCUUUUCCAAGGCCAGAAAUCAUCCAGCACUCAGCCCAGCCAGUGCCCCAGAGCAGCCCUCAGUGCCCACAUCUUUGCCACUGAUUGCUGAGGCACAGAGUCUGCCAGAAGUGAGAGCCCCUUCUCCAGCAGCCGCCCCAGUGCUCCUAAACUGUAAUGAGUCAGAGGGACCUUCAUGCCCCUCCCCAGACGUUGAAGAAGGCCAUGAAGCUGUAGAGGGAGAUUUGGGUGCAAUACCAGAAGAAAGAAAAGUAGGAAACAAUUCGUCUCAUUUCCUACAACCAGAUAUCCGAGGCCCUCUGUUCUUAUGUGAAGACACAGAGCUGGAGUCCCCAUUGUCUGAACUGGGCAAAGAAACCAUCAUGCUCAUGACCCCAGGCAACUUCCUCUCUGAGAGGAUCCAGGAUGCCCUGUGUGCCCUAGGGGGUUCCCAGUCUCUGGAGUGUAAAGAUGGUGAGGGAUCUGAAGGAGCGGAGGCCGAGGAAGUUCCAGGAACAGAAACAGAGACAGGCUUGUUGGUCUCCAUGCUGAAUUCUUGCCCAGAGAUCCAGAUUGAUACAGCAGACAAGGAGGUAGAGCAAGGGGAUGUUACCUCUCUUACAACAUUGCUGGCGAGCCCAGAAAGGACCUGCCCGCCACGACCCUCAUGCUUAGAGAAGGAACUUACCGAUGGUGUCAGCUCCCUAGAUCCUAGUCUGCCACAUGUUCUGCUUUCCUCAUCUCCAACUGGUCCUCUCAGCUCAGCCACCUUCAGCUUUGAGCCCCUGAGCAGUCCAGAUGGCCCAGUUGUCAUCCAGAACCUGCGCAUCACUGGCACCAUUACUGCUCGAGAGCACAGUGGCACUGGAUUCCACCCCUAUACGCUCUACACAGUGAAGUAUGAGACGGCCCUUGAUGGUGAGAACAGCAGCGGCCUGCAGCAGCUGGCCUACCACACUGUGAAUCGUCGCUACCGCGAGUUUCUGAAUCUGCAGACCCGUCUGGAGGAGAAAUCAGAUCUACGAAAGUUCAUCAAAAAUGUGAAGGGUCCUAAAAAGCUCUUUCCAGAUCUUCCAUUUGGAAACAUGGACAGUGACAGAGUAGAAGCCCGUAAGAGCCUCCUGGAAUCAUUCCUAAAGCAACUCUGUGCCAUUCCUGAAAUCGCUAACAGUGAGGAGGUACAGGAGUUCCUUGCUCUGAACACAGAUGCUCGUAUUGCCUUUGUCAAGAAACCGUUCAUGGUCUCCAGAAUAGACAAGAUGGUGGUGAGUGCUAUCGUGGACACCUUGAAGACAGCGUUUCCUCGCUCUGAACCCCAGAGCCCCACAGAGGAGCUGAGUGAGGCCGAAACAGAAAGCAAGCCUCAGACAGAAGGCAAGAAGGCUAGCAAGUCCAGACUGAGGUUCUCAUCCAGUAAAAUUGCUCCAACACUGAAUAUGACUGAAGCACAUGAGAAGAUUCUCUAUUGUCUCCAGGAAGGCAAUGUGGAGGCAGAGAUCCUAUCCAUGUCUGGGAUGGAAUCCUUCAUUGAAAAACAGACAGAGGUACUAGAAACGCAGCAAGCCGAAGCCCCAGAAAAAGGUCCUGAACAUAUCCCCAAAGAAUGUGUGGAUGGUUACUUGUCAGGUACAGCCAUGCCAGCCCAAGACCUCAGCAACAGUGAUCCAGGAACAGAGACAGAGUUAGCUGACACAGCCCUAGAUCUGCUCCUCUUGCUGCUAAUGGAACAGUGGAGAUGGCUAUGUACAGAAAACAUGCAGAGAGUUCUUCAUCUUAUCUUUGGGACCCUAAUUCAGAGGUGGCUAGAGGUCCAAGUUGCUAACCUAACCUGUCCUCAGCGCUGGGUGCAAUACCUCCGACUUCUUCAGGAGUCCAUCUGGCCUGGUGGGGCUUUGCCUAAGUAUCCGCGGCUGGUAAGGACCCAGGAGCAGAAAGUGACUGCUGAGAAACAGGCUUUGCAAAGCCUCAUGGGAGUCCUGCCAGAUAUCCUGGUAGAAAUCCUUGGGGUGAAUAAAUGCCGGCUGAGCUGGAGUCUAGUCUUGGAGUCACUACAGCAACCCCUCAUCAAUAGGCAUUUGAUUUACUGCCUUUGGGACAUCAUCCUGGAAUUCUUGGAUCUCAAUGCCUCAGUUGAGGAGCGUGCUCCAACGACCUCUGCCUCAGAUGCCCCAGGCAACCCCAAGAGGAUGGGUGUCUCCCCUUAGCCAUAGGUUAUUCACCCAUUCUAAGGGGGUUUGGAAAGGAGUUACUCUGCCACUCAGAGACCAGUCAGGAUUAAUAAGAAGUAGCCUGUGAAAGCAUGGGGAGGAUAUCCAGAUGGAGGAAACAAUGAACAAUGUGUGUAAAGACAGAGCGUAGUAGACAAAUAUUGGAUGGUUCCACUAACCUGAGGUUCCUAGAGUUGUCAAACUCAAAAACAGGUAAAAUGGUGAUUGUGGGAGGUUUGAGGGAGUAGUAGUGUAAUGGGUACAGAGUUUUGACUUUGCAAGAUGAAAAAGUUCUGGAGAUAAAACAACAGUGUGAGUAUAAGUAACACUGCUGAACUGUACAAUGGAAAAUGGUUAAGAUGGUAAAUUUUGUGUUAUGCAUACUUUACUAUAAUCAAGAAAUUUGAAAGUAAAGACAUGGAGAGCUGCAAGUGGCUGAGCACAGUAGGAACACAGCAUACAUGAAGACAGCGUGAGAGGCUGGAAAGCUGCAUGGAGUCAGAUGGGAGAGGGCCUGUCAGGCAUGGUGUGCUAAGAACCCUGGGAUUGUUUCAUCUCUACAGAGUGGAAAUCGUUGAAGAAUAUUCCUGAGGAGCAUUUUUCAUCAAGGUUGACAAUUUCUAGGAGCUUUGGGAAACGGAGCGGGGGGGGGGGUGAUCAUACAUAUAAAUAGCUCUUAGUCCUACACCUAUGGAUUUGACUGCUGUCUUAAGUCACACUCUGACCCCCUUUAAUUUCUUCAAGUCUGUUCCCACUAUUUCUUAUAUAUGAGUUGGCUUCAGGGAUCUAUAAAGUAAAAUCAAGAGAGCUGAUUGAAAUCGUAGCUCUGCCAGUUAAUCAGCUGUGAGGAUGUGGUCAGCUAACAGCUUUGUUGAGACUUAAAUUUCACUCUGAAAAAGGGAUAAAUACAUUACAACCAUUUUGAGAAUGGAAUGAGAUAAUAUAUAAGAACAAGCUUUAUAAAGUACAAGUACUGUGCUCUGGAAAUGUCAGUGACAUUAGCCCAGCCCUCUGAUGUCUGAGGGAGCAGUUGGAGAUGCCUUGAUUCAGGCACCCAUUCAGCUAAGCUGUCCUCUGGCAAGCCUCAGGUUCCGCAGCCCCCUUCAACCUGUUUAUUCUAAUCUUCCUUUGCACUGGAGCAACGUGUUUUCCCAGGGUGAGGAAAGGAAUGUUAGCCAACCCUGCUGGAUAAAAAUGGGAAAGGGAACCAAGGAAGGAAUGGUAAUUGGGGAGGAAGGGAAACCAUGAUGCUUUUGUAAUUGAAGGCCCAACUGGGCAAGCCCUGCCGUAACUUGGCUCUGUUGUUUCCUUCCCACUGGGAGUGCCAGAAAUCACAGGGCAGCAGUUGAUUGCACUGCCUUUGCGAACAAGAGAAUGAAAUCAUUGAAGGAUGAAUUUCAGCUAGCAAACCUCCAUCAAUCCUUUGUGGUAUAAAGGAUGAGAGAUGCUGCUACGCACAAAAUAGUAUUUCUUAGGAGAGAGCCAGUGAGGGAGACUGCCUCAAACAUUACUUCCAUAUCCUAAGACUUGUCUGAUAUUUUUUAUUACACAAAGACAACAGUGGCUGGCUUAAAAAACAAGACAUAAAUCCUGAAUGUGUCAAGCAAGAAACAAGUGAAAAAUCAACAGAACUUCUUCCUGCUGUGACCCAGUAGCAACAGGGCUUGAAACCGAACAACUCUGAAGUGGCGGAGGAAAUUUGGGCACCAGCAGUCACCUUGGCAAAUACACAUACACUGUGCUGUUCUCAGAUGUGUGACUCUUGCUGCCUCCCUGUCACUCCUUACCUGUCUUUGGUCUGAAAGUACAUUUGAACUCUGCUUUUUUGGAAAUGAAAGCAAGCAUGUGAUGAAACACAACACAAAUAUGUACUGACUUUGAUGUUACUUCCCCAAUAUGACAAAACCUAGUUUCUCUAUCCUGAUUUUUCAGACCUUACCUAUAGGCACUGCUGUAUAAAUCACUAGCACACUAUUUCUGGGAUGGUGGAAGAUUGGGAAGGAAAAAUUUAAAAAUAGUAUCAAGAUACAAACUUAGAAAACAUUUCUUGAAGUGACACCAUCAACUCAUUGUAACCCAAAAUAGACCUCUUUGUCACCAGUGUUUGUUUAUAAAAUGCAAGUUAAUUUUAAUAUUAGAGUGUUAGUUAAGAAUGUAAGUCUGGGGCUUAUAUAUAAAUCCACACUUUGACAUUU
Molecule: RNA transcript, 5718 nt
Organism: Hipposideros armiger (great roundleaf bat)
Lineage: Eukaryota; Metazoa; Chordata; Mammalia; Chiroptera; Hipposideridae
Gene: SNX19
Gene name: sorting nexin 19
Exons: 12
Source: RefSeq, a predicted model, not a curated record